Oncorhynchus tshawytscha (Chinook salmon) is the source of this 1783-nucleotide long non-coding RNA. Lineage: Eukaryota; Metazoa; Chordata; Actinopteri; Salmoniformes; Salmonidae. The record is from Ensembl.
CGGACAUGCAGGCACGAUAAGCACACACACACCUACCCAAACACACACACACACACACCUACACACAAACACACACACAGACCGGACACGCAGGCACGAUAAGCACACACACACCUACCCAAACACACACACACACACACACCUACACACAAACACACACACAGACCGGACACGCAGGCACGAUAAGCACAGAAAGAUAGGUAAUUUAAUUGACAGGCUAAAGCGACUAAGUUUAUGACUGACUUUUAUCACCAACGCGCGCACCCCCCACACACACACACACACACACGCUUGACCUCAGUAAACAACCAAAUAAAGUAUUGUGUGAGCUGUUGGCUAGACAUUUGGACUGGGGAGUGAGAGACCCAGACAGGUGGACUGAGGGAGAGAGAGAACCAGACAGUUGGACUAGGGGAGAGAGAGAACCAGACAGUUGGACUGGGGGAGAGAGAGAACCAGACAGUUGGACUGGGGGAGAGAGAGAACCAGACAGUUGGACUGGGGGAGAGAGAGAACCAGACAGUUGGACUGGGGGAGAGAGAGAACCAGACAGUUGGACUGGGGGAGAGAGAGAACCAGACAGUUGGACUGGGGGAGAGAGAGAACCAGACAGUUGGACUGGGGAGUGAGAGAACCAGACAGUUGGACUGGGGGAGUGAGCGAACCAGACAGAUGGACUGGGGAGUGAGAGAACCAGACAGUUGGACUGGGGAGUGAGAGAACCAGACAGUUGGACUGGGGAGUGAGAGAACCAGAGUAAUCUGGAGGUGGAGCCAUACGAGUGGCUAUCAUUGUACUGCAGUAACACAAAGAGAAAAGGUGUGUGUGUGUGUGUGUGUGAGAGAGGGUGUGUGCGCGGGUGUGUGUGAGAGGGUGUGUGUGCGGGUGCAAGUGUGGGUGGGCAUGCUUGUGUAUGUGAAAGGGUGUGAGAGGGUGUGUGUGCGCGGGUGUAUGUGAGAGGGUCUGUCUGUGACUGCAUUCCUCAGAGGGAGGGGUCACACACACACACACACACACGCGAAUACACCAUGCUUUCUGAGCGAUCCCUAAUCUUCCUGUCUAGGCAGGUAGUAUUAAGUCCUAAUUUUAGUGUGGCCAAUGUUCACGUUUGUCUGUGGUGGUUCAGGAGCACUAAAGUAAUUAGGUUAGUAUGCUGUUACAAUUGAAGACGUGUCACACCCCGGGGAGAAGGAAUAGAAGCAGCUAGCAUCCUGAUCACUAGAAAUAGACUGAACGGUUGAAAAUGUCCUGAGAACGUCGUUGUUUGGAGAAUCACAAAUUUGUAGAAAAAAGUAUUGCUCAGCACUGGACGCGAACACAUGAUGCUCAGAGCCAAAGUGCACUGCUCAGACCACUGCCGCUACUACGGCAGUUCACAACAUGUUAGCAAACCGCGAGAAUACGAAGACGAUGAUAGCUGAUGGAAAUAGCGCAUAGUUGUUUAUUAGCGGUCCUAAACCAUUGCCCUAACCUUAACCACACAUUGUACAUUCCAUAAAAGAGUAAUGAUCCCAUCCAUUACAGGGUAAACCUCCCUGACAUCCAUUACACACACACACACACACACACACACACACACACACACACACACACACAUACACACACACACACACACACACCUUUCAGAACAGCUGGUAACUGGGGGAGGACAAGGCGACCGCAGAAGGUGGCUCUGAACACAGGCGACCGCAGAAGGUGACUCUGAACACAGGCAACCGCAGAAGGUGACUCUGAACACAGGCAACCGCAGAAGGUGACUCUGAACACAGGCAACCGCAGAAGG